GACCCGUAGAGUGGACCUCUUCCUCAGCGGUUAAAGCGCGGAGAUAAGGAUCUAGGAUGGCUUUAAUCUCAGCCCCCCAAGUGUAUUCCGAAUCCUGAUCUUAGUCGCACCGCCGCCGUAACCGAUGCCGGUACCGGAUAUGGUAAGCUCCCAGGGCUUCAGUUGUUUAAAGCGGGACUACUCCAUCAUGCAUGGAACUGAAAGCUGAGUAUGUAGGGCAGAGGAUCCGGUUAGCGGUGAAUGCGUAGAUAUCGGAAGAACACAGGGCGAAGGCGCUCGCUGGUCAUACUGACGUCAUGACGAAAGCAGGGAGCGAAAGGGAUAGAUACCCUGUAGUCCUGGCCGUAAACGAUGAACACUAGGUGUCGGGGGAAUCGACCCCUUCGGUGUCGUAGCUAACGCGUUAAGUGUUCCGCCUGGGGAGUACGCACGCAAGUGUGAAACUCAAAGGAAUUGACGGGGGCCCGCACAAGCGGUGGAGUAUGUGGUUUAAUUCGAUGCAACGCGAAGAACCUUAUCAGGGUUUGACAUCCUGCGAACCUCUUAGAAAUUUGAGGGUGCCUUCGGGAAUGCAGUGACAGGUGGUGCAUGGCUGUCGUCAGCUCGUGUCGUGAGAUGUUGGGUUAAGUCCCGCAACGAGCGCAACCCACGUUUUUAGUUGCCAGCAUUUAGUUGGGCACUCUAGAAAGACCGCCGGUGAUAAACCGGAGGAAGGUGUGGAUGACGUCAAGUCAUCAUGCCCCUUACACCCUGGGCUACACACGUACUACAAUGCUACGGACAAAGGGCAGCAAACUCGCGAGAGCUAGCAAAUCCCAUAAACCGUGGCUCAGUUCAGAUCGUAGGCUGCAACUCGCCUACGUGAAGUAGGAAUCGCUAGUAAUCGCAGGUCAGCAUACUGCGGUGAAUACGUUCCCGGGCCUUGUACACACCGCCCGUCACACCAUGGAAGUUGGCCAUGCCCGAAGUCGUUACUCCAACCCUUGUGGAGGAGGACGCCGAAGGUGGGGCUAAUGACUGGGGUGAAGUCGUAACAAGGUAA
Molecule: ribosomal RNA, 1042 nt
Filed under: uncultured bacterium
Lineage: Bacteria
Description: bacterial SSU rRNA
Rfam family: Bacterial small subunit ribosomal RNA
Source: RNAcentral